AAGUGAUAUCUGUAACAUCUGCCACCCCAUUGAUCAGUAAAGCUGAUUCUACUGAUAUAGCUGGAUCAGCAGAAGUCUUUUUUCUCCUUCCCCACUCAAUGUAUGGCCCUUCUAAAGAACCUCCACGCUCUGUUGAAGAGGAUGACUUUUCCAGAAUAAUGGAGGACAUGUCUUCAGUCAAGGUUAUAGGAGCAGAGAGCUUCCCUAGUAGAAUUUCUAAAAGUACUCUCUCGGUCCAAAUUAUACUUUAAAUCAACUUGUAUUUAGGGUGCUUUUAUUUUUC
RNAcentral lists this small nuclear RNA (283 nucleotides) under Mus pahari (shrew mouse). Its description in RNAcentral is "sRNA (MGP_PahariEiJ_G0008002.1)". It matches the Rfam family "7SK RNA", at positions 9 to 284 of the family's 331-position model. From Rfam's summary of the family: 7SK was discovered as an abundant small nuclear RNA in the mid-70s but a possible function has only recently been suggested. Two independent studies have found that 7SK RNA binds the CDK9/cyclin T complex (known as elongation factor P-TEFb). The record is from RNAcentral. Lineage: Eukaryota; Metazoa; Chordata; Mammalia; Rodentia; Muridae.